This 882-nucleotide ribosomal RNA is filed under the name Septoriella leuchtmannii. Its description in RNAcentral is "LSU rRNA". It matches the Rfam family "Eukaryotic large subunit ribosomal RNA", at positions 38 to 939 of the family's 3401-position model. The record is from RNAcentral. Lineage: Eukaryota; Fungi; Ascomycota; Dothideomycetes; Pleosporales; Phaeosphaeriaceae.
GCAUAUCAAUAAGCGGAGGAAAAGAAACCAACAGGGAUUGCCCUAGUAACGGCGAGUGAAGCGGCAACAGCUCAAAUUUGAAAUCUGGCUCUUUUAGAGUCCGAGUUGUAAUUUGCAGAGGGCGCUUUGGCGUUGGCAGCGGUCCAAGUUCUUUGGAACAGGACGUCACAGAGGGUGAGAAUCCCGUACGUGGUCGCUAGCCUUCGCCGUGUAAAGCCCCUUCGACGAGUCGAGUUGUUUGGGAAUGCAGCUCUAAAUGGGAGGUAAAUUUCUUCUAAAGCUAAAUACUGGCCAGAGACCGAUAGCGCACAAGUAGAGUGAUCGAAAGAUGAAAAGCACUUUGGAAAGAGAGUCAAAUAGCACGUGAAAUUGUUGAAAGGGAAGCGCUUGCAGCCAGACUUGCCUGUAGUUGCUUAUCCGGACUUUUGUCCGGUGCACUCUUCUGCGGGCAGGCCAGCAUCAGUUUUGGCGGUUGGAUAAAGGUCUCUGUCAUGUACCUCCUUUCGGGGAGGCCUUAUAGGGGAGACGACAUGCAACCAGCCGGAACUGAGGUCCGCGCAUCUGCUAGGAUGCUGGCGUAAUGGCUGUAAGCGGCCCGUCUUGAAACACGGACCAAGGAGUCUAACAUCUAUGCGAGUGUUUGGGUGUCAAGCCCAGACGCGUAAUGAAAGUGAACGGAGGUGGGAACCUUUUAGGUGCACCAUCGACCGAUCCUGAUGUCUUCGGAUGGAUUUGAGUAAGAGCAUGGCUGUUGGGACCCGAAAGAUGGUGAACUAUGCUUGAAUAGGGUGAAGCCAGAGGAAACUCUGGUGGAGGCUCGCAGCGGUUCUGACGUGCAAAUCGAUCGUCAAAUUUGGGCAUAGGGGCGAAAGACUAAUCGAA